Molecule: ribosomal RNA, 603 nt
Filed under: uncultured bacterium
Lineage: Bacteria
Description: bacterial SSU rRNA
Rfam family: Bacterial small subunit ribosomal RNA
Source: RNAcentral
CCUACGGGAGGCAGCAGUGGGGAAUUUUCCGCAAUGGGCGCAAGCCUGACGGAGCAAGACCGCGUGAGGGAGGAAGGCUCUUGGGUUGUAAACCUCUUUUAUCAGGGAAGAAGAUCUGACGGUACCUGAUGAAUCAGCAUCGGCUAACUCCGUGCCAGCAGCCGCGGUAAUACGGAGGAUGCAAGCGUUAUCCGGAUUUAUUGGGCGUAAAGCGUCCGCAGGUGGUUAUUCAAGUCUGCUGUUAAAGCGCGAGGCUUAACUUCGUACAGGCAGUGGAAACUGGAUGACUGGAGUAUGGUAGGGGUAGCGGGAAUUCCCAGUGUAGCGGUGAAAUGCGUAGAUAUUGGGAAGAACACCAGCGGCGAAAGCGCGCUACUGGGCCAUUACUGACACUCAUGGACGAAAGCUAGGGGAGCGAAAGGGAUUAGAUACCCCUGUAGUCCUAGCUGUAAACGAUGGGUACUAGGUGUUGACCGUAUCGACCCGGUCAGUGCCGUAGCUAACGCGUUAAGUACCCCGCCUGGGGAGUAUGCACGCAGUAGUAGAACUACGAAGAAGUAGACGGCGUGAGACGUGACCGACGGACGACGACGAGGGAGGAGG